UACGUAGGUGGCGAGCGUUGUCCGGAAUUACUGGGCGUAAAGGGUGCGUAGGCGGCUCUUUAAGUGGGAUGUGAAAUCCCUGGGCUCAACCCAGGAACUGCAUUCCAAACUGGAGAGCUAGAGUGCAGGAGAGGAAAGCGGAAUUCCCAGUGUAGCGGUGAAAUGCGUAGAGAUUGGGAGGAACACCAGUGGCGAAGGCGGCUUUCUGGACUGUAACUGACGCUGAGGCACGAAAGCGUGGGGAGCAAACAGG
This 253-nucleotide ribosomal RNA is filed under the name uncultured bacterium. RNAcentral's name for it is "partial 16S ribosomal RNA". It matches the Rfam family "Bacterial small subunit ribosomal RNA", at positions 524 to 776 of the family's 1533-position model. The record is from RNAcentral.